This 468-nucleotide ribosomal RNA is filed under the name uncultured bacterium. RNAcentral's name for it is "partial 16S ribosomal RNA". It matches the Rfam family "Bacterial small subunit ribosomal RNA", at positions 28 to 507 of the family's 1533-position model. The record is from RNAcentral.
GACGAACGCUGGCGGCGUGCUUAACACGUGCAAGUCGGACGGGAAUGACCUGCUUGCUUGUGGUGCUCGAGGCGCAAACGGGUGUGUAACACGUGAAUAACCUCUCCUUGACUGUGGGAUAACUUCAGGAAACUGAGGAUAAUAGCAUAUAGGAGCUGCUCCUCCAUGUGUAGUGUUGGAAAGUUUAGGCGGUGGGGGAUGGACUGGCGGCUUAUGAGAUUGUUGGUGGGGUAGUGGCUUACCAAGGCAUGGGCGGGUAGCCGGCCUCAGAGGGGGACCGGGCACAGUGGGACUGAGAUACGGGACACAGUACUAAGGGAGGUAGGACUGGGGAAGAUAGCCCGAUGGGGGGAAGCCGGAUGCAGCAACGCCGCGUGCGGGAUGACGAACUUCGGGUUUUAAACCGCUUUCGCAUGUACCGAAGCGUGAGUGACGGUAAUGGAUAAAGAAGCACCGGCUAACUACGUG